CGCACGGGUGAGUAACACGUAUCCAACCUGCCGUCUACUCUUGGACAGCCUUCUGAAAGGAAGAUUAAUACAAGAUGGCAUCAUGAGUCCGCAUGUUCACAUGAUUAAAGGUAUUCCGGUAGACGAUGGGCAUGCGUUCCAUUAGGCAGUUGGCGGGGUAACGGCCCACCAAACCGACGAUGGAUAGGGGUUCUGAGAGGAAGGUCCCCCACAUUGGUACUGAGACACGGACCAA
Molecule: ribosomal RNA, 235 nt
Filed under: uncultured bacterium
Lineage: Bacteria
Description: partial 16S ribosomal RNA
Rfam family: Bacterial small subunit ribosomal RNA
Source: RNAcentral